RNAcentral lists this ribosomal RNA (488 nucleotides) under uncultured bacterium. Its description in RNAcentral is "bacterial SSU rRNA". It matches the Rfam family "Bacterial small subunit ribosomal RNA", at positions 17 to 518 of the family's 1533-position model. The record is from RNAcentral.
UUAUGGCUCAGGACGAACGCUGGCGGCACGCUUAACACAUGCAAGUCGAACGGAGUAUCGAGAGCUUGCUUUGAUAACUUAGUGGCGGACGGGUGAGUAACACGUGAGCAAUCUGCCCUUAAGAGGGGGAUAGCAGUUGGAAACGACUGAUAAUACCGCAUAAGAUAGUAGUACCGCAUGGUACAGCUAUAAAAGAUUUAUCGCUUAAGGAUGAGCUCGCGUCUGAUUAGCUAGUUGGUGAGGUAACGGGCUCACCAAGGCAACGAUCAGUAGCCGGACUGAGAGGUUGGACGGCCACAUUGGGACUGGGACACGGCCCAGACUCCUACGGGAGGCAGCAGUGGGGAAUAUUGCACAAUGGAGGAAACUCUGAAUGCAGCGAUGCCGCGUGAGGGAAGAAGGUUUUAGGAUUGUAAACCUCUGUUGACAGGGACGAUAAUGACGGUACCUGUUGAGGAAGCUCCGGCUAACUCCGUGCCAGCCGCAGC